This 497-nucleotide ribosomal RNA is filed under the name uncultured bacterium. Its description in RNAcentral is "partial 16S ribosomal RNA". It matches the Rfam family "Bacterial small subunit ribosomal RNA", at positions 30 to 523 of the family's 1533-position model. The record is from RNAcentral.
AUUGAACGCUGGCGGCAUGCCUUACACAUGCAAGUCGAACGGUAACAGGUCUUCGGAUGCUGACGAGUGGCGAACGGGUGAGUAAUACAUCGGAACGUGCCUAGUAGUGGGGGAUAACUACUCGAAAGAGUGGCUAAUACCGCAUGAGAUCUACGGAUGAAAGCAGGGGAUCGCAAGACCUUGUGCUACUAGAGCGGCCGAUGGCAGAUUAGGUAGUUGGUGGGAUAAAAGCUUACCAAGCCGACGAUCUGUAGCUGGUCUGAGAGGACGAUCAGCCACACUGGACUGAGACACGGCCCAGACUCCUACGGGAGGCAGCAGUGGGGAAUUUUGGACAAUGGGCGCAAGCCUGAUCCAGCAAUGCCGCGUGCAGGAUGAAGGCCUUCGGGUUGUAAACUGCUUUUGUACGGAACGAAAAGCCCCGGGUUAAUACCCUGGGGUCAUGACGGUACCGUAAGAAUAAGCACCGGCUAACUUCGUGCCAGCCGCCGCCGUAA